RNAcentral lists this ribosomal RNA (1264 nucleotides) under metagenome. Its description in RNAcentral is "bacterial SSU rRNA". It matches the Rfam family "Bacterial small subunit ribosomal RNA", at positions 213 to 1498 of the family's 1533-position model. The record is from RNAcentral.
UAUCGCUGAAAGAUGGCCUCGCGUCUGAUUAGAUAGUUGGCGGGGUAACGGCCCACCAAGUCGACGAUCAGUAGCCGGACUGAGAGGUUGACCGGCCACAUUGGGACUGAGAUACGGCCCAGACUCCUACGGGAGGCAGCAGUGGGGAAUAUUGGGCAAUGGGCGCAAGCCUGACCCAGCAACGCCGCGUGAAGGAAGAAGGCUUUCGGGUUGUAAGCUUCUUUUAAGUGGGAAGAGUAGAAGACGGUACCACUUGAAUAAGCCACGGCUAACUACGUGCCAGCAGCCGCGGUAAUACGUAGGUGGCAAGCUUGUCCGGAUUUACUGGGUGUAAAGGGCGUGCAGCCGGGCAUGCAAGUCAGAUGUGAAAUCUCAGGGCUUAACCCUGAAACUGCAUUUGAAACUGUAUGUCUUGAGUGCCGGAGAGGUAAUCGGAAUUCCUUGUGUAGCGGUGAAAUGCGUAGAUAUAAGGAAGAACACCAGUGGCGAAGGCGGAUUACUGGACGGUAACUGACGGUGAGGCGCGAAAGCGUGGGGAGCGAACAGGAUUAGAUACCCUGGUAGUCCACGCUGUAAACGAUGGAUACUAGGUGUGCGGGGACUGACCCCCUGCGUGCCGCAGUUAACACAAUAAGUAUCCCACCUGGGGAGUACGAUCGCAAGGUUGAAACUCAAAGGAAUUGACGGGGGCCCGCACAAGCGGUGGAUUAUGUGGUUUAAUUCGAAGCAACGCGAAGAACCUUACCAGGUCUUGACAUCCUGCUAACGAAGUAGAGAUACAUUAGGUGCCCUUCGGGGAAAGCAGAGACAGGUGGUGCAUGGUUGUCGUCAGCUCGUGUCGUGAGAUGUUGGGUUAAGUCCCGCAACGAGCGCAACCCCUAUUGUUAGUUGCUACGCAAUAGCACUCUAGCGAGACUGCCGUUGACAAAACGGAGGAAGGUGGGGACGACGUCAAAUCAUCAUGCCCCUUAUGACCUGGGCUACACACGUAAUACAAUGGCGGUCAACAAAGGGAUGCAAAGCCGCGAGGCAGAGCGGACCCCAAAAAGCCGUCCCAGUUCGGAUCGCAGGCUGCAACCCGCCUGCGUGAAGUCGGAAUCGCUAGUAAUCGUGGGUCAGCAUACCACGGUGAAUACGUUCCCGGGCCUUGUACACACCGCCCGUCACACCAUGAGAGUCGGGAACACCCGAAGCCGUAGCCUAACCGUAAGGAGGGCGCGGCCGAAGGUGGGUUCGAUAAUUGGGGUGAAGUCGUAACAAGGUA